Molecule: ribosomal RNA, 484 nt
Filed under: uncultured bacterium
Lineage: Bacteria
Description: partial 16S ribosomal RNA
Rfam family: Bacterial small subunit ribosomal RNA
Source: RNAcentral
AUUGAACGCUGGCGGCAGGCCUAACACAUGCAAGUCGAGCGGAUGAAGGGAGCUUGCUCCUGGAUUCAGCGGCGGACGGGUGAGUAAUGCCUAGGAAUCUGCCUGGUAGUGGGGGAUAACGUCCGGAAACGGGCGCUAAUACCGCAUACGUCCUUAGGGAGAAAGUGGGGGAUCUUCGGACCUCACGCUAUCAGAUGAUCCUAGGUCGGAUUAGCUAUUUGGUGGGGUAAAGGCCUACCAAGGCGACGAUCCGUAACUGGUCUGAGAGGAUGAUCAGUCACACUGGAACUGAGACACGGUCCAGACUCCUACGGGAGGCAGCAGUGGGGAAUAUUGGACAAUGGGCGAAAGCCUGAUCCAGCCAUGCCGCGUGUGUGAAGAAGGUCUUCGGAUUGUAAAGCACUUUAAGUUGGGAGGAAGGGAAGUAAGUUAAUACCUUGCUGUUUUGACGUUACCAAAAGAAUAAGCACCGGCUAACUUCGUG